UGUUCCUACGGGAGGCAGCAGUGAGGAAUAUUGGUCAAUGGCCGGAAGGCUGAACCAGCCAAGCCGCGUGAAGGACGAAGGUGCCAAGCAUUGUAAACUUUUUUUGUCAAGGGACAAAAUCAGGCUCGAGAGCCUGACCGAGGGUACUUGAAGAAAAAGCAUCGGCUAACUCCGUGCCAGCAGCGGCGGUAAUACGGAGGAUGCGAGCGUUAUCCGGAUUUAUUGGGUUUAAAGGGUGCGGAGGCGGACUGUUAAGUCAGCGGUAA
RNAcentral lists this ribosomal RNA (266 nucleotides) under uncultured bacterium. Its description in RNAcentral is "partial 16S ribosomal RNA". It matches the Rfam family "Bacterial small subunit ribosomal RNA", at positions 334 to 597 of the family's 1533-position model. The record is from RNAcentral.